Long non-coding RNA from Bos taurus (domestic cattle), 1347 nucleotides. The record is from Ensembl. NCBI's taxonomy places the organism in Eukaryota, Metazoa, Chordata, Mammalia, Artiodactyla, Bovidae.
CGGCGCUGGCCUCCAUUGCCCAGCUCUUAGGAGACUAACACUGGGGAUUUGGCUGCUAGGGGAGGGGGUUGUCGGUCUGGUCUGUAUGUUGCACUGCGGCCCGGGUUUCUCCUUUCGGAAGCUGAGCGGGAAGGCGUUCGGAGGGCUGUGUGCUUGCAAAUUCGUGACUCGUGAUUCCUGUGCAGUCUCUUGGGUUCACAGUUUUCGUAUUCUCUGAUAGGACCGCAUUCAUUCAUGUGAUACCGAUGCAAAGUCGUCCGCCAGGCUGUAGUGUCUGACCAGAGGUCUUAUUAUUGGAGCCUAAAUUUAUUCAACAACUGUUGCAGUGUUGUGUUCCUUUCGGGUGAACAUUGAAGGGACUCAGCCAUACCUAUACAUGUAUCCACUCUCCCCCAAACUCCCCUCCCAUCCGGCUGCCACGGAACAUUGAGCAGAGUUCCUUGUGCUAUAAAUUCUGGAGAGUCCAAGGCCAAGGGAAAACUCUCUUCCUGCUUCAUGGUUGGCCCCUUCUAGCUAUGUAAUCACAAGACUGAAGUGAUGUGGAAGUUCUCUGAGAUUUCUAAGAGCACCAACCCCAUUUGUGAGGGCUCCUCCCUCAUGAUUUAAGUACUUCUCAAAGGCUCCACCUUCUAAUACCAUCAUCUUUGGGGAUUAGGGUUUCAAAUUCUAACUUCAAGGGUUAGAACUUUGAGAGGGACCCUUAGGUCUACCUCAGUACCCGUUAAACUAUCAUCACAAUCAAGGUAACAAUCAUACAUCACCCCCAAAGUACUCUUGUGUCCUUUUGUAAUCCAGUCUCUCCCUCCAUCGCCAUCCCUAGCAAUCACCUUCUGUCAAUAUAUAUUAGUUUGCAUUUUCUUGAAUUAUAAUAAAUAAACACAUACACUAGGUUCCCUUUUUACCUGGCUUCUUUGACUCGAAAUAAUUUUUAUAUUCAUCCUUGUUGCUUGUAUCAGUUGUAUGUGUGCUUGUUUUGUUUUUUUACUGUGUAGUAUUCCAUGGUAUGGAAUUACUGCUGUUUGUUUACCCAGUUAUCUGCUGGUGGGCAUGUGGAUAUCUAAGUUUUGUCUAUUACAAAUAAAGUCACUAUGACUAUGAACAUUUGUGUACUAGUCUUUGUGUAGAUGUUUUUGUUUCUCUUGGUGAAUACCUAGACAUAAGACUGACUGAGUCAUAUGAUAGGUAUAUGUUUAACUUUUUAAGAAACAGCCAAACUGUUGUGCAAGGUGACUGUAACAUUUUACAUCCACACCAGCAAAGUCGUGAGAGUUCCAGUUGCCCCAUAAAUUCAUCAACACUUAGUAUGAGGAUUUUUUUUUCUUUAUUUUAGUCAUUCUAAAGGGUGUG